CGUUAAAGAGUUCAAAAAGUUGGUGCAUUCGUGCAGCUGCGAGUUGCUUGGAUUCGGCUAAAACUCAGAGCUCGUGAAGAGUGAAGAUAUUUUUAGGAAAAAGUUAUCUAAGUAAAUGGGUUUCACCCCCAUCUGCUGCAGCCCGUGUGACACUAUUUGGACAUUUAAUGACGUCGCCAGCCUCCCCUAGUUGGCUGUGACCACCUGGAGCGCAGGAGCUAAAUUUCAGCCUGGGGGCCUCAGGUGCUUAGCGCAGCGUCUGGGAUAAAUUAAGUGACGUAGGAGGAGACGAGAAGCUUGCAGCGUGACGAUAGCAGUAGCAUUGGAGUGCUUGCUGGGGCCCAGGCACUGAGCCACACUCUACAAGGAUUCAUUCAAUCCUCACACAGCGUAAGAGAAGGUGGUGCAAUAGCUCAAGUUUUUGGCUUCUCCUCACCUGAGCUGGUUCUGGAGCUGCACUCUCGGGACUGCAUGUAAAAGAAGCCAGUCCUGAAACGGCAACAGAGUGAACACUUACCGCUCUAACGAGACCAACAGGCAAGUUCGGAAAGAGUGAAUUACACGAGCUGUCAUCCCUGACUAAAGCCUCCCGCCUCCCGCCUCCCAGGGGCUCUCAGCCCACCUCGGAGAGCUUUAGGAGCGCCAGCAAAGUAGGACUGAGCGUGAGCAGUCUUCCGUCACCUGCUGUUACUGCUCCCACCAAGCCCUCGGAGGUUCUCAGCCCCGCGGCGGCAGUCUGCUAGGGAGCCCACAUAUUCCAAGGGGUAAACAAAAACCACAAACGUCCUCUUCAAAGUGGAGAGUAUGGAGAAGGGGUGAUAGUGGAAAAUACUGGAGGAGGGAGAACACACAGAAAGGCCCAGUUAGUCAGGACUCACUUGGGUUGCGCGUGAUGCUGAUAUCCCGGUCCCAGCUGAGAUCCUGCUCUCAUCUCCACAGCCACAGAACACUGAGGAAAAUUACAGAAGAGGGAAAGAUCAGCUCCUCUCUCUACAGUCUACAAACCCAGUUCUGCUCAGACGGUUCAACCGCGGUGGAAUCCCACAUUGCUUUCUAGUGCAGCACAGACACCUAUGUUAAAGUACCAGAUACGUGCAGUUUAUUUGACAUAGGCCACAAAGAUGGUGAGCUGGAAGGGUCUCUGGAGUAUGCAGGUAAUUUUCUUGGGAAGGCUGGCACCCAGGGCCAGCGCCUGCCCUUCCUGUGCUCUUUCAGAGUAACAGUAAUAGUUCCAUGGGAACUUGUGCUCCUGUGAGGAUUCCCAUCAAUUUGAUGUGAAUUGUUGUUACUCUACAGUGAUGCGCUCUGACUCGAUUCUCAGGCCCUAUCCCUCUACACUGCAGACAGGGACCUAGAACCAGAGAGCUCCAGUAGGAGCAGACCCAAACAAACGUGAGAACCUUGGCAGGUUUGCGGAGAACAGGCCUGCAGGCUGCACAGGCGAUGCGAGGUCAGGCCUCAGCUGCUUCCGAGAGCGGGAGAAGCUGGAGCCGGGGGGUUAAGAUAGGUCGCCCCUAACUGUUAUGAAGCAGACAAAUACUUGAUUUUCACGCCUACCCUGGUCUCUACGUCAGUCCAUUCAGACUCUGUGCCAUCUGGUGCAGCAGGCGCCGCUGUGGAAGACCUUCGCUUUCGACUGGAAAAAGGGGCAACAAGACGCAACAAUUAUUUUUGCAUCUAAGAAGAGGAAAAAUACUAGAAAUAGGGUAUCACUGCACUCCUUCUGAUAAUGCUACCUCUUAGAGGAUGUGUUCUGCAAGAAUAAGCAGCUAAGAAAACUACGGCCCUCUAAAGAGAGACAUCCGAGGAUCACUCACCCAGUUGGCGAUUCUUGUUUUAAAGUCUCGAUAUCCGUAAACUGAACAGACUGUCCACCACCUCUUGUUUUAUAAACAUCACCCUGAAGCCGAGAGAAAAGGUCAGCGUUAUGCUUUGAUGUACCUGAAUGAUGAACAUGUAAUUCAAACUGAGCUUAAGAUUCUCCAUGAAACAGUAAAUAAAGUCCUAGUCACAAAACCAGAUGGUGCUUCAGACUGUGCUAUUAAAAUACUUCAGAAAUUCUCUCACUAAACAAAAGUCCAGUGCAAUAUAAUCAGUAACAUUCUUAAAUUGCAAAAAAUAAUACUCCUUUUUGUUCAAUCUAUAAUUUAAAAACUGCACCAAGGAUUAAGAAAUCUACCAGAAAUUUCUAAGUGUUCUAAGGCAUUAUGCUUUCCUCUGGGUAUACCACCCCCUUCAUGUUAUAGUCUUAUUGGUGACUCCGGCUGUAAUUAAACCAUCCUCUAAACUUUU
Molecule: long non-coding RNA, 2292 nt
Organism: Ailuropoda melanoleuca (giant panda)
Lineage: Eukaryota; Metazoa; Chordata; Mammalia; Carnivora; Ursidae
Exons: 3
Source: RefSeq, a predicted model, not a curated record